AGCGAACGUUUGCGGCGGGCCUAACACAUGCAAGUCGAACGCACUAGCAAUAGUGAGUGGCGCACGGGUGCGUAACACGUGGGUAAUCAACCCUUCAGCUUGGGAUAACGACUUGAAAGGGUCGCUAAUACCGGAUACGGCGCGGGAGGCUUCGGCUUCUCACGAGAAAGCCUCGCAAGGGGCACUGAAGGACGAGCCUGCGGCCCAUCAGCUAGUUGGUGAGGUAAGAGCUCACCAAGGCGAAGACGGGUAGCUGGUCUGAGAGGAUGAUCAGCCACACUGGAACUGAGACACGGUCCAGACUCCUACGGGAGGCAGCAGUGGGGAAUAUUGCGCAAUGGGCGAAAGCCUGACGCAGCCACGCCGCGUGAGCGAUGAAGGCCUCGGUCGUAAGAUCUGUGGGAGGAGACGAAGAAAGACCGU
Molecule: ribosomal RNA, 423 nt
Filed under: uncultured bacterium
Lineage: Bacteria
Description: bacterial SSU rRNA
Rfam family: Bacterial small subunit ribosomal RNA
Source: RNAcentral